GCUGAUGUGUCCGAGUGGUUAAGGAGAUGGACUUGAAAUCCAUUGGGUUCUACCCGCACAGGUUCGAAUCCUGUCGGCAGCG
This 82-nucleotide transfer RNA is filed under the name Megaselia scalaris. Its description in RNAcentral is "tRNA-Ser for anticodon UGA". It matches the Rfam family "tRNA". From Rfam's summary of the family: Transfer RNA (tRNA) molecules are approximately 80 nucleotides in length. Their secondary structure includes four short double-helical elements and three loops (D, anti-codon, and T loops). Lineage: Eukaryota; Metazoa; Arthropoda; Insecta; Diptera; Phoridae. The record is from Rfam by way of RNAcentral.